Non-coding RNA from Paramisgurnus dabryanus, 1043 nucleotides. The record is from RefSeq and is a predicted model, not a curated record. NCBI's taxonomy places the organism in Eukaryota, Metazoa, Chordata, Actinopteri, Cypriniformes, Cobitidae.
CAACAAACAUGAGACGUCCAAAGGACGUUCAGAUUAUGUCCAUAUCGGGUCGGUCGGUCCAGAACCUAAUCUGCACCUAAUCUGCACGUCUAAACGACGUGCAGAUCCAGUACAGUAUUUGGACGUCUGACUACGACGUCUUUUGGACGUUGAUAUGCAGUUCAAUAUUUGAGGGUCCGUUCUUGGACGUCAUUUAGACGUUCAAAACAGGUUCAGAAAAAAAAUAUAAAAACUUAUGCAAUAAAAACGACAAAUGAGUUCUGAUUCAAAACAAUGUAACAUGACGUUUUUUUUUUUGUGAAAAUUCUUUAAGGUGAUAAAAUAUGUUAUAUUUUUAAGAAUGAAUGUUCACAACGCGUGCCAAAAUCUACUGCAUUUCUUUUGUGUAAUUUGCAAAUUAAACCAAAUUCAAGUGUGAUUUACAAAAAUAAUCAACAUUGCAAUUUUAAGUUUAACCACAAGGGUGUGUAAAAGCUUAGGUGGCGAGGUGGCGCGUGAUCUUUUUUUGCACGUGAUCAACAGACGUAAUUAAGCGAGCCCCAGCCGUAAACGUACUCAACGGAUUCAACCUGCUGUGAACAGGAGAACAGGACCUACAUACACCCCAAAGGCUCUUUUCAGAGCCAUUUGACCAAGCAUCUUUGUACAUGCCGGUUUUCCUUCAGUAGUGCCAGUUUUCCUAAGAUUUUACCUCGUCCUCCACUGCCUCCAGUAAUUCCUGGUUUUAAGGUUAGUCAUUUUUUUUUGUUUUCAGUGCCAUUCGUCUCAACCCUGACUUCCUAAAUAGUCUAAAUUUGAAUACAAAAAUCUGGGCUUGAUUUGGUUUUUCUGAAGGUGUUUAAAAGAUUUACUGUUUUUGAUCCUCUGGGUCUAAAUGACCCUACAAUGUGAAUAAGACAAGUUACAAUUUUUUAAUAGUUUAAUUUGUCGAAAAAAGAAAUGCAUCCAAUAUUAAUGUGAAAAUAAUAUACAUGUACAAAUCCCCGGUUCUAGAGAACAAACAUACAUACUUUCUUAAGCACACACAAACACACAAGUAGAGU